Molecule: non-coding RNA, 204 nt
Organism: Cucumis melo (muskmelon)
Lineage: Eukaryota; Viridiplantae; Streptophyta; Magnoliopsida; Cucurbitales; Cucurbitaceae
Source: RefSeq, marked provisional
UAGGAUCUGGUAAUCUGCAUCCUGAGGUUUAGGGAGUUCAAAAUAUUAAUGAUGGGUGGGUUUGAGGGUGCAAAGCCAAUAACAAAAAAGAUAACAAAUUAUUGGCCAAAGCUCUUGAUUUUGAUUCAUUUUGAGCUAUUUUGCCUACAUAUUCCCCUGAUUAUGUGUUUCUCUAGUCCUUGGGAUGCAGAUUAUCUCUUCCUG